GUUCUUGUAUAGGGUGAGGUUUUGGAGAGUAUAUGAUGUAUUUCCAUUUUGGAAAAGAAUGCAAGUUGUAUCAAUGUUUAAAGUUAAAAUGAUAUAAAAAAAAGAGAUUAAAUGUUUCAAUUAUGUCUCUAAUAGUUAAGUUUCUCUCUUUUGUAUACUUGUAUGCCAUUUACUUGUAUCGCUUGCUCUUUGUUGAUAUAUAGCACUGGUUGUGCUCUCGAUUAUCGUUGUGUGAUUGUGUAUGAAUUCAAGUUGUAUUCCUGGGGACUUGUUGUACACAAUCUCGUUGUUGCCUAGCCUAGGGCGGGCAGGGGAGACUCUGCUCGUUCGGCGGUCACGCACGCCGCCCUCGAAUCGGACCAAAUUGGUACCGUUUCGGGUGGUGCGGUCGUGGGGCGUGAC
RNAcentral lists this long non-coding RNA (402 nucleotides) under Ananas comosus (pineapple). Its description in RNAcentral is "long non-coding RNA (ACOM_LNC003732)". Lineage: Eukaryota; Viridiplantae; Streptophyta; Magnoliopsida; Poales; Bromeliaceae. The record is from RNAcentral.